AUUGAACGCUGGCGGCAGGCCUAACACAUGCAAGUCGAGCGGAUGAAGGGAGCUUGCUCCUGGAUUCAGCGGCGGACGGGUGAGUAAUGCCUAGGAAUCUGCCUGGUAGUGGGGGAUAACGUCCGGAAACGGGCGCUAAUACCGCAUACGUCCUGAGGGAGAAAGUGGGGGAGCUUCGGACCUCACGCUAUCAGAUGAGCCUAGGUCGGAUUAGCUAGUUGGUGGGGUAAAGGCCUACCAAGGCGACGAUCCGUAACUGGUCUGAGAGGAUGAUCAGUCACACUGGAACUGAGACACGGUCAAUACUCCUACGGGAGGCAGCAGUGUGGAAUAUUGGGCAAUGGGCGAAAGCCUUAUCCAGCCAUGCCGCGUGUGUGAAGAAGGUCUUCGGAUUGUAAAGCACUUUAAGUUGGGAGGAAGGGCAGUAAGUUAAUACCUUGCUGUUUUGACGUUACCAACAGAAUAAGCACCGGCUAACUUCGUG
This 484-nucleotide ribosomal RNA is filed under the name uncultured bacterium. RNAcentral's name for it is "partial 16S ribosomal RNA". It matches the Rfam family "Bacterial small subunit ribosomal RNA", at positions 30 to 507 of the family's 1533-position model. The record is from RNAcentral.